Molecule: long non-coding RNA, 1651 nt
Organism: Micropterus salmoides (largemouth bass)
Lineage: Eukaryota; Metazoa; Chordata; Actinopteri; Centrarchiformes; Centrarchidae
Exons: 2
Source: RefSeq, a predicted model, not a curated record
GUGUGGUAAAAAGUCAAGUUCAUGGGUAAAAAUGUUUUAAAAUAUUAACUGUUAAAAUGCAUUUCAUAUGUAUUUUAUUUCAUAUAUGUUGUUAAAGGGCUGUUUAAUUUGAUUGUGGUGUUUUGCUAGAGAAGUGUAUCUAGUUACACGGGCUGUGGCUUGUGAAUUGGCUAACAUACGUGGGAGGAGGAGGAGGAGAAGGGACGUAAAAAAGAGAGGUGGGAGAAUGAAAAGGGAGUGAUCCGAGUGUUAACGAGCUAAUGAGGUAGUUUUGGGUGAACUUUUGCCGUUUUGGAGAGGAGUUGCGUUAGGUGUGCCUUGGAUUGUCGGCCAGAUAAUCGAGCGGGCCGCAAGAAGACGUUUUCGUGAGUUAGAAGACGUCUGUCCGACGUUUGCUGUGCUGUAACCAGUGAGACUGCUCGUUAACAGUGGGAGUGUCACUAGCCGUGUGGACAGACUGUGAGCCGCGCUAGCUAACCCAGCUAUACAAAAGCUUCGUCUGGACUGUUUCCGACCUGGAGACGAGGCUUAACUACCAAGCUCCCUGAGCCGACCUAAGAGUGGAGCCUGCCCAGGAAGCGACUACACAGUGGAGGACUGUAGGCAGGUUUUGGUUUUGGCGGCAAAAGAGAGACCUACACAAUAUUAAGUAGGUGGUCUUAAUGGCAGAGGCUACUAUGCAAGGUGCCAACUGCUAGCAGAAACCUUAUUCAUUCACAUAUGCUCACAGAACAGCAAUUUGUUGUUCAGUAUCUUGCUUAAGGACACUUUGACAAGCCAGCUGUCUGGAGGAUCAAACCACCAACCUUCUGAUUAGUGGAGAACACAGCUCACAAAUCUGCCAUUACAAUCUGUGCUGCAUACAACACUCUAUCCUGUCCUUAGACCCUAGAAUCUACAGGACAUGUGGACAGAUAAUAAACCUGUAAAACAGGAGAAAUGAUGAAGCAGAUUAAACUAUGUUAAACCAAAAAUGUGACCAUACAUUUUGUGUGGGUCGUAAAUCCAAUUAGGAAAAACUUCCCAAGAACCUCUUAAAAAACACAAAACCUCAGGAAGAGCAACAGAGGAGGGACAAAGAGACAUGCUAGAGAUGUCAUGUGUAUGGAUUAGACAUAUGAGCAAAUAUAUGUUGAGUGUUAUGAAUCCAGAAGAAUGUCAAGCAGCUUCCAGGUGCCACUAAACAGCCACACAACCUACUCUCCACAAUGGAGAGUUGGAAAGAGGACAGACAGAAACACAGAAACGUCAAAUUAGCACAUCAUUCACAAAGAGGGAGAAGAGACAAGGACACCAUUCAUACAAGGGGAGAAAAAGAGACAAGAGGUGAGGCUGGGUCUCCUGGAGGACAACAUCCAGAUCCCAAACGUGCUAAGUUUGUCCUGGACGGUGCUAUGGGAAAAGGUGCUAUAAGUCAGGGGGUCUCAAUAAAUCGUGUUGCCUCCUAAAUGUUGUAACAUAUGUAAUGUAUAUGUGAACCUUGAGGUCAGUGCAGUAAAGCUUUUACAAGAUUUAGUAGGGGUGUUACUCUGUAAGGUGUAGCCUAUGUAUUUCUUAUUUAACAGAGUUAAAAUGAAAAUCACAAAACAAUAACUGUGGAGGGACAUAAAAGACCAUUUGUGUAAUAAAACAUUAAGGUUGCAGGUUGUAC